GACGAACGCUGGCGGCGUGCCUAAUACAUGCAAGUAGAACGCUGAAGAGAGGAGCUUGCUCUUCUUGGAUGAGUUGCGAACGGGUGAGUAACGCGUAGGUAACCUGCCUUGUAGCGGGGGAUAACUAUUGGAAACGAUAGCUAAUACCGCAUAACAAUGGAUGACACAUGUCAUUUAUUUGAAAGGGGCAAAUGCUCCACUACAAGAUGGACCUGCGUUGUAUUAGCUAGUAGGUGAGGUAACGGCUCACCUAGGCGACGAUACAUAGCCGACCAGAGAGGGUGAUCGGCCACACUGGGACUGAGACACGGCCCAGACUCCUACGGGAGGCAGCAGUAGGGAAUCUUCGGCAAUGGGGGCAACCCUGACCGAGCAACGCCGCGUGAGUGAAGAAGGUUUUCGGAUCGUAAAGCUCUGUUGUAAGUCAAGAACGAG
RNAcentral lists this ribosomal RNA (435 nucleotides) under Streptococcus sp. oral taxon C65. Its description in RNAcentral is "bacterial SSU rRNA". It matches the Rfam family "Bacterial small subunit ribosomal RNA", at positions 28 to 453 of the family's 1533-position model. The record is from RNAcentral. Lineage: Bacteria; Bacillati; Bacillota; Bacilli; Lactobacillales; Streptococcaceae.